RNAcentral lists this ribosomal RNA (1428 nucleotides) under Triticum aestivum (bread wheat). RNAcentral describes it as "partial small subunit ribosomal RNA". The record is from RNAcentral. Lineage: Eukaryota; Viridiplantae; Streptophyta; Magnoliopsida; Poales; Poaceae.
AUGGCUUCUGAGGAAAUCAAAUCAAAGAAGCAAAGAAAUGAUGACUGCAUUAUAAACAGUCUCCCAGGGGACCUCAUUGAGCGGAUAUUUUUGAGGCUUCCAGUCAGCACUUUGUUGAGGGGCGUCAGUGUCUGCAAGCACUGGCACAACUUCAUCCGUGAUCCACAGUUUGUCGUAUCACACCUUCAGUGUGCGCCCCGAGAUGUCCUUCUGUUCUUCCAGCAAGAGUCGGUCUCAGGCGAGCCCUACCCUAGUGAUGCUAUCCUAAUUGACGAAGCCUGGUCGCCAUCGACACGCGCAGUGCCAGUGAUUGGGCCUGAUGAUUUCCUUUUUGGUUCAUGCAAUGGACUCCUUGGCUUAUACACAAAGACAUCAACUAUCAAGAUAGCUAACCUUGCAACUGGUGAAUGUCUACAUCUUGAGAAACCUGCGAAGAAUGUGAAGGGUGAUCACUUCUCUUUCUACAGCUUUGGAUUUCAUCCCGUGACAAAAGAAUACAAGAUUACACACUUCCUUGGUGAUUGUGUUGAGGGUCGCCCCCGUAAUAAAGACAGCUUCAGUGUCAUUCAAGUUUACACGCUUGGUGAUGAGAAAUGGAAAGAUAUCCGUACUCCAGAAGCUCUUAGCUUGAUCGCUGUAAGAAACUCUGGAGUUGUCAAUGUUGAUGGCAAAAUUUAUUGGUUGACUGAAGAAAUGUUAGCUAGCUGGCAGCAUGCGGUUAUGUCCUUUGAUCUCAGGGAAGAAAGUUUUGCAAUAAUUCAACUGCCAGCAGCACGUGAAGAUCAUGAUUAUUAUGGUCCUCGUAAGUUCUGGAUCAGAGAUAUAGAUGGGAAAAUAUGUAUAGUAACUGCUCAAACAGGUCGUUAUGCUCCCAGAGCUCUUGCUGGUGAGCUGCAGAUCUGGACACUCGACAACACGGUAGAGCAACAAAGGUGGAGCCAGAAGUACAAUAUUAAGAACCCACCAAAUUACAUUUCAGGUCCACAUUUUGUUCACAGGGAUAGGAUCCUCGCACAGCUUUGCAGCGAUAACGUAUAUGCGUAUGAGUUGUUCGGCGAGAACUUUGAUGUUAACCUGUGUAAGGGGGUAAACCUGUUAGAUUUCAGCCCCCGCAAGCCGUACAACAUGCAAUCCUACAUAUGUGUGAAGUCACUUGUACGUUUAGAUGUAUACAAGAAGGCUGGCAUUGUACAUAGACCAAAACAGCGUGAAGGCUGGCAAUUGAAGAAGUGGGAGACAUGGAAGCGUAGGCUUAGCAAGUUAGUGGAUAUGCAGUGCCAGAUGCACAAAUUUGAGCACAACUUACUUGAAAUCGCAGAAACAAUGGGGGGAAGGUGCCAGUUUUUGAAGGAUAAGCAACAUAACAUAGCAGAACAUGUACUCACGGAACUCAAACAGGUGUCAGGUGUUACAGCACAAACCAGAUAA